This 439-nucleotide ribosomal RNA is filed under the name uncultured bacterium. Its description in RNAcentral is "bacterial SSU rRNA". It matches the Rfam family "Bacterial small subunit ribosomal RNA", at positions 508 to 927 of the family's 1533-position model. The record is from RNAcentral.
GCAGCAGCCGCGGUAAUACGGAGGGUGCGAGCGUUGUCCGGAAUCACUGGGCGUAAAGGGCGCGUAGGCGGCCGAGCAAGGUCGCGGUGAAAGCCCGGGGCUCAACCCCGGGUCGGCCGUGGCAACUACUCGGCUCGAGCACUGUAGGGGCGGGUGGAAUUCCGGGUGUAGCGGUGGAAUGCGUAGAGAUCCGGAAGAACACCGGUGGCGAAGGCGGCCCGCUGGGCAGGAAGGGAGAGCAAUCUCCCGGCUGACGCUGAGGCGCGACAGCGUGGGGAGCAAACAGGAUUAGAUACCCUGGUAGUCCACGCCGUAAACGAUGGGCACUAGGUGCUUGGGGGAGCGACCCCCCGAGUGCCGGCGCUAACGCAUUAAGUGCCCCGCCUGGGGAGUACGGCCGCAAGGCUGAAACUCAAAGGAAUUGACGGGGGCCCGCACA